RNAcentral lists this ribosomal RNA (301 nucleotides) under uncultured bacterium. Its description in RNAcentral is "partial 16S ribosomal RNA". It matches the Rfam family "Bacterial small subunit ribosomal RNA", at positions 509 to 807 of the family's 1533-position model. The record is from RNAcentral.
CAGCAGCCGCGGUAAUACGGAGGGAACUAGCGUUGUUCGGAAUUACUGGGCGUAAAGCGCACGUAGGCGGUUAUUCAAGUCAGAGGUGAAAGCCCGGGGCUCAACCCCGGAACUGCCUUUGAAACUAGAUGACUGGAAUCUUGGAGAGGUCAGUGGAAUUCCGAGUGUAGAGGUGAAAUUCGUAGAUAUUCGGAAGAACACCAGUGGCGAAGGCGACUGACUGGACAAGUAUUGACGCUGAGGUGCGAAAGCGUGGGGAGCAAACAGGAUUAGAUACCCCGGUAGUCCCUGUCUCUUAUAC